GUGCUCAGUCACUUUGGCAGCACAUACAUUAAAACUGGGAUGAUACCGAGAAGAUUAGAAUGGCCCUUACACUAGGAUGACAUGCAAAUUCAUGAAAUGUCCCAUAUUUUU
This 111-nucleotide small nuclear RNA is filed under the name Moschus moschiferus (Siberian musk deer). The record is from RNAcentral. Lineage: Eukaryota; Metazoa; Chordata; Mammalia; Artiodactyla; Moschidae.